AUGGUAGCGGCUGCGACUCAGAUAAUUCGGUUGCCGUUACAGUAUUGUGCAGACGCGACGGAGAUUCGAGUACGUCACGUCAGUCAGAUCAAACGGGUAUUGGAGCUACUCAGAAGGAACAGAGAUAUGAUGAUGUUCAAUGAGGUUAAGUUGACCAUCAUGAUCCAGGAUCCAAGCAAACUGGAAAAAAGGAGGCUGCUUGGAAUAGAAAAUGCGGAUGGCCCCUAGUAGGGAAGACUUGGCUGAAGCCUUGGAGCAGGUAGAUGAAGGAAAAAUCCCUAAAGAUAGUCUCACUCUCCAGAUGCUCCAUGAGGAAAUGAUCCGUUGGCCAAAUUUAGAGCUUGAGGUUUCAAAGAAGCAGCGAGGAAAAUCAUUGUACGUGAAGUGAAAUCCACAGACACCGGAAUAGAUCCAAAAGAAGCAGCCAAGAGACUCAACGUAGACUGCGACUCAGCUGCUGCAAUUGAAGAAGCUGACGAGACUGGAGUAGCCAGCAAAGCCAUGGGUUAUGGAGCCUUGUACUUAGUCUCGUCAUUUCCAGUUAUCAUUGGUAUCUCGGUUGUGUUCAUCUUGUUUUACAAUUCCCUUCAGUAGAUUCAAAAUCAUUUAGAUUUUACAUGCACCACCAUCACCAGUGAACCAUCAUCAAUGUUUUUUGACUUAAGAUUAUGAAAUAAAUUUCAAUUAUUUAAUCACAUUCUUCCUCAAUCAACGCCUUGUGGUAUGCACAAACUCGGAUAAAUACUCCAAAUCUUUUGGUACUAUUAUUAUUAAGUGUUGUUCGUGCGAACAUAUCUUAUCUCGAUCAGAUCGUGUCUCAAUCUUGGGCAUGGUCCCAUGUAAAUAAUGUUAUAAAACUUAAACUUAGGUAUCUUUUUAUGUUUUAUUGUAAUAAAGUCAAUAACCUUUUGGCUGAGACUACUAAUACGCAGGUAAAAGAAAAAAGAAAAGCUGGACGUGCAAAUCAUGACUUAGCCACCAUUAGCCACCAAACGUGCAGUCCAUGCUUACUCUCUCUCUCUCUCUCUAUAAUUAGCCACCAUCUCGUUGAUAAUUUGUGGGAUUAUGAGAGCUUCUAAGUGUUUUAACCGUGAUGAAGCACACGAACAAAGUAAAAAGGAGUGAAGUAACCGUAAGUAUUUGAGAGAGGAGAGAAAUUUGAGAAUUUAAGAGAAUGAGAGGAUUUGUGAGAUUGAGAGAAUGAAAGAAAUGUUUGUAUUGAAUUGUGUGUUUAAUUGUGUAACAUACAUGGUGUAUUUAAAGGAAACAAAAGCAAUAAGCACUCAA
Brassica napus (rape) is the source of this 1287-nucleotide RNA transcript. It is a transcript of the gene named ycf3-interacting protein 1, chloroplastic, with no coding region annotated. The record is from RefSeq and is a predicted model, not a curated record. NCBI's taxonomy places the organism in Eukaryota, Viridiplantae, Streptophyta, Magnoliopsida, Brassicales, Brassicaceae. The transcript has 7 exons.